RNAcentral lists this long non-coding RNA (4634 nucleotides) under Homo sapiens (human). Its description in RNAcentral is "HSALNT0351917". Lineage: Eukaryota; Metazoa; Chordata; Mammalia; Primates; Hominidae. The record is from RNAcentral.
GCUGCCCACCCUGCCUGUUCCCUGGCUUCCUCCAUCCUGUGCAGCCCAUAGACUGUGACCAUCUAUCUGGCCACUGUGGCCCUUCCUUUCCCUUUGUCCUGUUGGAAUCUCUGAGCAAGAUCUCCCAGGUCCAUCGAAACACCUGCUUUGUCCAGUUUUGACUGGGUCUUUGGGCACUACUGGGCCAUCCCAACUGUCCACAGGGCCCUCAAUAACGUGCAUUGCACCUGACAUCUCCCAGCAGUGCUCAGCAGCCCCUGCUGACCAGGUCCAGGUCCCUGCUGGCCAUAUCCCACACAUCAGGUCCUCCCUGACCACACUCUCACUGAUUAGAACCCCAUGACCAGGCCCCACUAACCAGGCCCUUGCUGCUAGGCCAACAGUGUCCAGGACCCCACUGACCAGGACCUUACUGACCAGGGCCUCACUGACCAGGUUCCACUGAUCAUGACCCCAUUGCCUGGCACCAUAGAUGAGGCCCCACUGACCAGGCCUCCAGGGAACAGGCUGCCACUGACCAGGCCCCUAUUAACCAGGCCAUAGGUGACAAGAUGCCCCUGACUGUGACCCUAGUGAGUAGGCCCCACUGAAUAGGCACCCACUGCUCAGAUCCCUGCUGACCAGGUCACCCCACAGACCACUGCUACAAGAGCCACCACUGAAUGCGCUCUCUCUGAACAGGCCGCCACUGAUUAGGUUCCACUGACCAGGCUGCGCUGACCAGGGCCCCACUGACAAGGGCCUCACUGAUGAGGACAUGGCCAGCAGGCCCUGCUGACUGGGUCCCAUGUGACCAGGCCUCCAAUGAAUAGCACCCCUUGAGCUGGUCACCAGUGACCCGGCCCAUGCUGACAAGGCCACCACUAAGCCCCAGCUGACCAGGUCUCCAUUGACAAAGUCCUGCAGCCUAGUUUUACACUGACCAGACACCAAACAAGUGGCUGCCACUAGGUCCCCACUCACCAAGACCCCACUACUAGAUCCCCCUAAUGAGACCCUCUCUAAGCAGACCCCUGCUGACCACACCCCCCAAUAAAUAGGCCUCACUGACCAAGUCCCAGCUGACUAGGUCCACUGAUGAGGCCCACACUGAUCAGGGCCCUCAUAACCAUACCAGAAGGACAAGCGACAAUGAGAUAUUUCAUAUGGCAGGAGUAGGAGCAAGACAGAGAGAGAAAGGAGGUGCCACAUCCUGUUAUACAACCAGAUCUCAUGAGAACUCACUAUCAGGAGAUCAGCAUCAAGAAGAUUAACCACUGGUGAAGGAAACACCACCCACACCACCACCCACUGUUUGCAGGCAGAAGCCUCCUGCAGAGGCAGAGCCUCUUGGGAAACUUCUACCAUGGCAGUGCAGAAGGGAAACAUGGGCUUGGAGCCCCGACACAGGAGGUCACCAUCCUCCAGACCCCAGAUUCAUAAGCCCACCAACAGUUCACAUCCUCAGUAUGGAAAAGCUACAGGCACUCCACACCAGCCUAGCCCAUGAGAGCAGACAUGGGGGCUGAAGCCUGCAAAGCUGCAGGUGCACUGCCCUAGCAGAGGUUUCCCAUGAGCCUCUGCCUCUGAAGCAGACUACUCCCCCUUCCUACUACCCACCACCCUCCCACCACCCUACUGCCAACCUACUUCCCACCCUACCCACCCCUUUUCCUUCCAACCCCAAACCCCUCCUGCCAUGAUUACAUCACCUCCCACCAGGCCCCACCUCCAACAUUAAGGAGUACAUUCCACAGGAGUUUUGGUAAAGAAACACAGCCAAACCAUAUUAUUCUGACCCUGGUACCCCAGAAUCUCAUGUCCUUCUCACAGAGCAAAAUACAUUCAUGCCUUGUCAAAAGUUUCCAAAAGUCUUAACUCAUUCCAGCAUUAACUCAAAUGUAAAAAGUUCAACAUCUCAUCUGAGACAAGUCUACAGUCCCUUGCACCUAUGAGUCCCUGAAUUUAAAAGGAUGUUCUUUUCUUUCAGGGUACAAUGAUGGUACAGGCAUUGGGUAAGCUUUCUCAAUUCAAAGGGAAGAAAUUUCCCAGGAAAAAACCACAAAUAGAACCACACACCCAAUGCAAGUCCAAAACCCAGGAGGCCAGUAUCCAUUCAAUCUCACAGCUCCAAAAUCACGAAGAGAACUCACUAGCAUAAGCACAGCAAUAAGGAGAUGGUGUUUAAUCAUUUGUGAAGGAUCCACCUCCCACCACCACUUUUCACCCCUCACCCCCACCAUAAUCCCCUCAUUCUCCCUACCCCCCACCUUCCAACCCACACUCUCCACCAUGAUUAAAUCACCCUCCACCAGGCCCCACCUUUAACUUUAUUAUUCUGUCCCUGGCUCCCAAAUCUCAUGUCCUUCUCACAUUGCAAAAUACAAUGAUGCCUUCCCUACAGUCCCCCCAAAUCUUGUAUCAUUCCAGCAUUUAUACAAAUGUCCAAAGCUUAAAGUCUCAUCUGACACAAGGCUAUACAGUCCCUUAGGCACAUAAGCCUCUGAACUAUAAAGCAAGUUAACUGCUGCCAAGCUACAAUGCUUGUGCAGGCAAUGGGUAAGCAUUCUCAACUGAAAGGAAAAAUUUUGCCAGAAAGAGCAAAACACAUAGAGGACUUACAGGCCCCAUGAAACUCCAAACCCAGAAGGCCAGUCAUUCAAUCCUACAGUUCCAAAAUCACCCUUUUUGAAACGUUGUCCCACAUCCAGGGCACAGGGACAUGAGGGCUGGGCUCUGAAGGCCUUGGGCAGCCCUGCACCUGUGGCUUUGCAGGGUUUAUGCCCCACAGCUGCCCCCAUGGACUGGGCGGGUGUUGAGUGCCUACAGCUUUUCCUGACUGAUGGUACAAGCUGUUGGUGGGUCUAUGAAUCUGGGGUCUGCAUGACGGUGGCCUCCAGUGUGGGGGCUCCAACCCCAUAUUUUCCUUCUGCACUGCCCUAGUAGAAGUUUCUUAUGAGGCUCUGCAUUUUUGGGAUGCUUUUGUCUGGUCACCCAGGCAUUUCCAUACAUCUUCCAAAGUCUACAAAAAGGCUCCCAAGCCUCUAGUCUCAUGAUCCAUCCACCUAGUGGCUUAACACUAUGAGGAAGUUACCAAGGCUUCUAGCUUGCACCCUCUGAAGCAGUGACCCAAGCUGCAUCUGUGCAUUUUCAGCCAUGGCUGGAGCUGGAGCUGCAGGGACGCAGGCAGCAGUGCCCUGAGGCUGCACAUAGAGCGGGGUCACAGGACUGGCCCAGGAAACCAUGCUUCUCUCCUAGGGCCCAGGGCCUGUGAUAGCAAGGGCUGCUGCAAAGGUCUCCGAAAUGCCGUCAAGGGCUUUUCCCUAUUGUCUUGGCUAUUAGCACUGGGCUCCUUUUCAUGCAAGUUUCUGAAGCCUUCCUGAAUUUUCCCCCUGAAAAUCAGCUUUUCUUUUUGACCACUUGGCCAGGCUGCAAAUUUUCCAAACUUUUGAGUCCUGUUUCUCAUUUAACAUAAGAGUUGGGACUCAUUUAAUAUAAGUCCCAUCCAGAGGUCAUUUUCUCAGUCACACAUCAGAGCACAGGCUGUUCAAUGCAGACAGGACACCUCUUGAGCUUUGCUUCCUAGAAGUUCAUUCCACCAGAUAUGCACUGCAUCAUCAACCUCAAGUUUAAAGUUUCACAGAUCUCCAGGGCAGGGUCACCAUGCAGCCAUGUUCUUUGCUACAGCAAAAUAAAAGUAACCUUGGCUUCUGUUCCCAGGAAGUUCCUCAUUUUUAUCUGAGACCUUCCAAGUCUGGUUUUCACUGGCCAUUUUCCUGUCAGCCUUCUGAUCACAAGUAGUUAACAAUUCUUUACAAAGAUCCAAACUUUUCUUCAUUUUCCUGUCUUCGAAGCCCUCCAAACUCUCCUGAUCUCUGUCUGCCACCCCCUUCUGAACCUGCUUCUACAUUAUCAGCUAUCUUUGUCACAGCCUGGCAAUGUGGUAAAGGAAGACAAGUCCAUUUUCAGGGAGAAAAUUCAAGAAGCCCUCAGAUACUUGAAUGAAAAGAAGCUGAGUACUGACUCCCAAGACAAUAGGGAAAAGGCCUUGAAGACAUUUCAUACAUCCACUUCCCAGUACUAAUUUUCUCUAUGAUCAUAAAGAACCUCAUGAUUCUGCAGGCUGUAAGGAAACAUACUGGCUUCUGAAUCUGGGAGGACUCAGGAAGCCUCCCAAUCAUACCAGAAUGUCAAGGGGCAAUGAGAUGAUUCACGUGGCAGGAGUAGGAGAAAGACAGAGAGAGGAAAGAGGUGCCAUGCCCUAUUAUACAAGCAGAUCUCAUGAGAACUCACAAGGUCAGCAUCAAAAAGAUGGUGUUUAACCAUUGGUGAAGGAUUUGCCCCCCACCCCCAACUCCCACUGUUUCCAGGCAGAAGCCUGAUGCAGAGGCAGAUCCUCUUGGAAAACCUCUACUAGGGAAAUGUGGAAGGAAAAUAUGGGCUUGGAGCCCCCACGCAGAUGGCCACCAACCUCCAGACCCCAGAUCCAUAGACCCACCAACAGCUCACAGCCUCAGUUUGAAAAAGGUAUGGGUAGUCAACACCAGCCCACCCCAUGAGAGCAGCCACAGGGGCUAAACCCUGUAAAGUCACAGGUGCACUGUCCUAGUAGAGGUUUUCCAUGAACCACUGCCUCUGCAGCAGGUUACUCCCCC